ACGGGGGCAGCAGUGGGGAAUAUUGCACAAUGGGGGAAACCCUGAUGCAGCAACGCCGCGUGAGUGAUGAAGUAUUUCGGUAUGUAAAGCUCUAUCAGCAGGGAAGAUAAUGACGGUACCUGACUAAGAAGCACCGGCUAAAUACGUGCCAGCAGCCGCGGUAAUACGUAUGGUGCAAGCGUUAUCCGGAUUUACUGGGUGUAAAGGGUGCGUAGGCGGCAUGGUAAGUCAGAUGUGAAAGACCGGGGCUCAACUCCGGGGCUGCAUUUGAAACUGCCAGGCUUGAGUACAGGAGAGGCAGGCGGAAUUCCUAGUGUAGCGGUGAAAUGCGUAGAUAUUAGGAGGAACACCAGUGGCGAAGGCGGCCUGCUGGACUGAAACUGACGCUGAGGCACGAAAGCGUGGGGAGCAAACAGGAUUAGAUACCCUGGUA
RNAcentral lists this ribosomal RNA (433 nucleotides) under uncultured bacterium. RNAcentral's name for it is "partial 16S ribosomal RNA". It matches the Rfam family "Bacterial small subunit ribosomal RNA", at positions 341 to 792 of the family's 1533-position model. The record is from RNAcentral.